This 292-nucleotide ribosomal RNA is filed under the name uncultured bacterium. RNAcentral describes it as "partial 16S ribosomal RNA". It matches the Rfam family "Bacterial small subunit ribosomal RNA", at positions 505 to 796 of the family's 1533-position model. The record is from RNAcentral.
GUGUCAGCAGCCGCGGUAAUACAGAGGGUGCAAGCGUUGUCCGGAAUUACUGGGCGUAAAGGGCGCGUAGGCGGCUUGAUAAGUAGGAGGUGAAAUUUCGUGGCUCAACCACGAAACUGCCUUCUAAACUGUCAGGCUUGAGCACGGUAGAGGCAGAUGGAAUUCCCGGUGUAGCGGUGGAAUGCGUAGAGAUCGGGAAGAACACCAGUGGCGAAGGCGGUCUGCUGGGCCGUUGCUGACGCUGAAGCGCGACAGCGUGGGGAGCAAACAGGAUUAGAUACCCUGGUAGUCC